Molecule: ribosomal RNA, 105 nt
Filed under: Caerostris extrusa
Lineage: Eukaryota; Metazoa; Arthropoda; Arachnida; Araneae; Araneidae
Source: RNAcentral
CAUACCAUGCUGAAUAUAUCGGUUCUCGUUAGAUCACCGAAGUCAAGCAUCAUUGGGCGCGGUCAGUACUUGGGUGGGUGACCACCUGGGAACACCGCGUGCCGU